This 132-nucleotide microRNA precursor is filed under the name Vicugna pacos (alpaca). RNAcentral's name for it is "miRNA (ENSVPAG00000017533.1)". Lineage: Eukaryota; Metazoa; Chordata; Mammalia; Artiodactyla; Camelidae. The record is from RNAcentral.
CCCAGUUAAACUGCAAUUUCCAGCAAAUCAUGAAUAUCUUUUUAGGAUAAGUAUGUCCCAUGUAGUACUUGGGACUUACUUACACUAGAAAAUUAUUUGUCAUUUAUCUGAAACUCAAAUUUAAUUGGUCAU